This 244-nucleotide ribosomal RNA is filed under the name uncultured bacterium. Its description in RNAcentral is "partial small subunit ribosomal RNA". It matches the Rfam family "Bacterial small subunit ribosomal RNA", at positions 26 to 286 of the family's 1533-position model. The record is from RNAcentral.
AGAAUCAACGCUGGCGGCGUGCCUAACACAUGCAAGUCGAUCGAGAAAGUGGAGCAAUCCAUGAGUAAAGAGGCGCACGGGUGAGUAACACGUGACUAACCUACCCUCGAGUGGGAAUAACCUGGGGAAACCCGGGCUAAUACCGCAUAAUACCCACGGGUCAAAGGAGCAAUUCGCUUGAGGAGGGGUCGCGGCAGAUUAGUUAGUUGGCGGGGUAAUGGCCCACCAAGACGAUGAUCUGUAU